UGCGGUUCUGAGCGCGCCGUCCGCGCCCACCUGACAGCUGCUCGCAACGUUGUGUUAG
RNAcentral lists this small RNA (58 nucleotides) under Xanthomonas vasicola pv. musacearum NCPPB 4392. Its description in RNAcentral is "Xanthomonas campestris pv. musacearum NCPPB 4392 sX9". It matches the Rfam family "Xanthomonas sRNA sX9", at positions 18 to 74 of the family's 76-position model. Lineage: Bacteria; Pseudomonadati; Pseudomonadota; Gammaproteobacteria; Lysobacterales; Lysobacteraceae. The record is from RNAcentral.